This is an unclassified non-coding RNA of Pongo abelii (Sumatran orangutan), 148 nucleotides long. It matches the Rfam family "Metazoan signal recognition particle RNA". Rfam says of the family: The signal recognition particle (SRP) is a universally conserved ribonucleoprotein. It is involved in the co-translational targeting of proteins to membranes. The record is from Ensembl. Lineage: Eukaryota; Metazoa; Chordata; Mammalia; Primates; Hominidae.
GCCGAGAAUGUUGGCGUAUACUUGUAGUCCCAGCUAUUCCAGAGGCUGAGGUGGGAGGAUUGCUUGAGCCCAGGAAGUCGAGGCUGCAGUGAGACAUGUUCACGCCACUGCACUCCAGCCUGGGCAACAGAGCAAGACCCUAUCUCUU